RNAcentral lists this ribosomal RNA (467 nucleotides) under uncultured Thiobacillus sp. RNAcentral describes it as "bacterial SSU rRNA". It matches the Rfam family "Bacterial small subunit ribosomal RNA", at positions 908 to 1382 of the family's 1533-position model. The record is from RNAcentral. Lineage: Bacteria; Pseudomonadati; Pseudomonadota; Betaproteobacteria; Nitrosomonadales; Thiobacillaceae.
AAAUUGACGGGGACCCGCACAAGCGGUGGAUGAUGUGGAUAAUUCGAUGCAACGCGAGAACCUUACUACCCUUGACAUGUCCGGAACUUGCCAGAGAUGGCUUGGUGCCGAAAGGGAAUCGGAACACAGGUGCUGCAUGGCUGUCGUCAGCUCGUGUCGUGAGAUGUCGGGUUAAGUCCCGCAACGAGCGCAACCCUUAUCAUUAGUUGCUACGCAAGGGCACUCUAAUGAGACUGCCGGUGACAAACCGGAGGAAGGUGGGGAUGACGUCAAGUCCUCAUGGCCCUUAUGGGUAGGGCUUCACACGUCAUACAAUGGUCGGUACAGAGGGUUGCCAAGCCGCGAGGCGGAGCCAAUCCCACAAAGCCGAUCGUAGUCCGGAUUGUUCUCUGCAACUCGAGAGCAUGAAGUCGGAAUCGCUAGUAAUCGCAGGUCAGCAUACUGCGGUGAAUACGUUCCCGGGUCUU